GCCGGAGUGGCGGAAUUGGCAGACGCACAGGACUUAAAAUCCUGCGGUCUUUGUAAGACCGUAUCGGUUCGACUCCGAUCUCCGGCA
Molecule: transfer RNA, 87 nt
Filed under: Caldisalinibacter kiritimatiensis
Lineage: Bacteria; Bacillati; Bacillota; Tissierellia; Tissierellales; Thermohalobacteraceae
Rfam family: tRNA
About the family: Transfer RNA (tRNA) molecules are approximately 80 nucleotides in length. Their secondary structure includes four short double-helical elements and three loops (D, anti-codon, and T loops).
Source: Rfam by way of RNAcentral